AUUGAACGCUGGCGGCAGGCCUAACACAUGCAAGUCGAACGGUAACAGGAAGCAGCUUGCUGCUUUGCUGACGAGUAGCGGACUGGUGAGUAAUGUCUGGGAAACUGCCUGAUGGAGGGGGAUAACUACUGGAAACGGUAGCUAAUACCGCAUAACGUCGCAAGACCAAAGAGGGGGACCUUAGGGCCUCUUGCCAUCGGAUGUGCCCAGAUGGGAUUAGCUAGUAGGUGGGGUAACGGCUCACCUAGGCGACGAUCCCUAGCUGGUCUGAGAGGAUGACCAGCCACACUGGAACUGAGACACGGUCCAGACUCCUACGGGAGGCAGCAGUGGGGAAUAUUGCACAAUGGGCGCAAGCCUGAUGCAGCCAUGCCGCGUGUAUGAAGAAGGCCUUCGGGUUGUAAAGUACUUUCAGCGGGGAGGAAGGGAGUAAAGUUAAUACCUUUGCUCAUUGACGUUACCCGCAGAAGAAGCACCGGCUAACUCCGUG
This 490-nucleotide ribosomal RNA is filed under the name uncultured bacterium. Its description in RNAcentral is "partial 16S ribosomal RNA". It matches the Rfam family "Bacterial small subunit ribosomal RNA", at positions 30 to 507 of the family's 1533-position model. The record is from RNAcentral.